AGAGCCAACAGGGAUUGCCCUAGUAACGGCGAGUGAAGCGGCAACAGCUCAAAUUUGAAAUCUGGCUCUUUUAGAGUCCGAGUUGUAAUUUGCAGAGGGCGCUUUGGCUUUGGCAGCGGUCCAAGUUCCUUGGAACAGGACGUCACAGAGGGUGAGAAUCCCGUACGUGGUCGCUGGCUAUUGCCGUGUAAAGCCCCUUCGACGAGUCGAGUUGUUUGGGAAUGCAGCUCUAAAUGGGAGGUACAUUUCUUCUAAAGCUAAAUAUUGGCCAGAGACCGAUAGCGCACAAGUAGAGUGAUCGAAAGAUGAAAAGCACUUUGGAAAGAGAGUCAAACAGCACGUGAAAUUGUUGAAAGGGAAGCGCUUGCAGCCAGACUUGCUUACAGUUGCUCAUCCGGGUUUCUACCCGGUGCACUCUUCUGUAGGCAGGCCAGCAUCAGUUUGGGCGGUAGGAUAAAGGUCUCUGUCACGUACCUCCUUUCGGGGAGGCCUUAUAGGGGAGACGACAUACUACCAGCCUGGACUGAGGUCCGCGCAUCUGCUAGGAUGCUGGCGUAAUGGCUGUAAGCGGCCCGUCUUGAAACACGGACCAAGGAGUCUAACAUCUAUGCGAGUGUUUGGGUGUCAAGCCCGAGCGCGUAAUGAAAGUGAACGGAGGUGGGAACCCGCAAGGGUGCACCAUCGACCGAUCCUGAUGUCUUCGGAAGGAUUUGAGUAAGAGCAUGGCUGUUGGGACCCGAAAGAUGGUGAACUAUGCUUGAAUAGGGUGAAGCCAGAGGAAACUCUGGUGGAGGCUCGCAGCGGUUCUGACGUGCAAAUCGAUCGUCAAAUUUGGGCAUAGGGGCGAAAGACUAAUCGAACUAUCUAGUAGCUGGUUCUGCACU
This 884-nucleotide ribosomal RNA is filed under the name Alternaria alternata. RNAcentral's name for it is "partial large subunit ribosomal RNA". It matches the Rfam family "Eukaryotic large subunit ribosomal RNA", at positions 56 to 963 of the family's 3401-position model. The record is from RNAcentral. Lineage: Eukaryota; Fungi; Ascomycota; Dothideomycetes; Pleosporales; Pleosporaceae.